UACGGGGGGGGCAAGCGUUGUUCGGAAUUACUGGGCGUAAAGGGCUCGUAGGUGGCCAACUAAGUCAUACGUGAAAUCCCUCGGCUUAACCGGGGAACUGCGUCUGAUACUGGAUGGCUUGAGUUUGGGAGAGGGAUGCGGAAUUCCUGGUGUAGCGGUGAAAUGCGCAGAUAUCAGGAGGAACACCGGUGGCGAAGGCGGUCUGCUGGGCUGUGGCUGACGCUGAUGCGCGACAGCGUGGGGAGCAAACAGG
Molecule: ribosomal RNA, 253 nt
Filed under: uncultured bacterium
Lineage: Bacteria
Description: partial 16S ribosomal RNA
Rfam family: Bacterial small subunit ribosomal RNA
Source: RNAcentral